AGAGUUUGAUCCUGGCUCAGGAUGAACGCUGGCGGCGUGCUUAACACAUGCAAGUCGAACGGAAGUCGCAAGACUUCAGUGGCGCACGGGUGAGGAACACGUAGCUCAUCUGCCUUCAAGCGUGGGAUAACGCUCCGAAAGGAGUGCUAAUACCGCAUAAGCUCCCGGUCUGUAGAGGUCUGGGAGAAAAGGAGCAAUCCACUUGAAGAGGAGGCUGCGGCCCAUCAGGUAGUUGGUGUGGUAACGGCGCACCAAGCCAACGACGGGUAGGGGACCUGAGAGGGUGACCCCCCACACUGGGACUGAGACACGGCCCAGACUCCUACGGGAGGCAGCAGUGAGGAAUAUUGCCCAAUGGACGAAAGUCUGAGGCAGCGACGCCGCGUGGGUGAUGAAGGCCUUCGGGUCGUAAAGCCCUUUUCUGUGUGACGAGCAAGGACGGUAGCACAGGAAAAAGUCUCGGCUAACUACGUGCCAGCAGCCGCGGUAAAACGUAGGAGGCAAGCGUUAUCCGGAGUUACUGGGCGUAAAGCGUGCGUAGGCGGAUGGGUAAGUGGGUCGUGAAAGCGCCGGGCUAAACCGGGCGAGGACGAUACAGACUGCUCGUCUAGAGGCGGAUAGAGGGGUGCGGAAUUCCGGGUGUAGCGGUGAAAUGUGUAGAGAUCCGGAGGAACACCAGUGGUGCAAACGGCGCCCUGGGUCCGAACUGACGCUGAGGCACGAAAGCGUGGGGAGCGAACGGGAUUAGAUACCCUAGUAGUCC
This 763-nucleotide ribosomal RNA is filed under the name uncultured bacterium. Its description in RNAcentral is "bacterial SSU rRNA". It matches the Rfam family "Bacterial small subunit ribosomal RNA", at positions 8 to 796 of the family's 1533-position model. The record is from RNAcentral.